Molecule: ribosomal RNA, 253 nt
Filed under: uncultured bacterium
Lineage: Bacteria
Description: partial 16S ribosomal RNA
Rfam family: Bacterial small subunit ribosomal RNA
Source: RNAcentral
UACGGGGGGAGCAAGCGUUGUUCGGAUUUACUGGGCGUAAAGGGCGCGUAGGCGGCGCAACAAGUCACUUGUGAAAUCUCCGGGCUUAACUCGGAAAGGUCAAGUGAUACUGUUGUGCUAGAGUGCGGAAGGGGCAACUGGAAUUCUCGGUGUAGCGGUGAAAUGCGUAGAUAUCGGGAGGAACAUCAGUGGCGAAGGCGGCCCUCUGGACCAGUACUGACGCUGAGGCACGAAAGCGUGGGGAGCAAACAGG